This 253-nucleotide ribosomal RNA is filed under the name uncultured bacterium. RNAcentral's name for it is "partial 16S ribosomal RNA". It matches the Rfam family "Bacterial small subunit ribosomal RNA", at positions 524 to 776 of the family's 1533-position model. The record is from RNAcentral.
UACAGAGGUCCCAAGCGUUGUUCGGAUUCAUUGGGCGUAAAGGGUGCGUAGGUGGCGUCGUAAGUCGGGUGUGAAAUCUCGGGGCUUAACUCCGAAACUGCAUUCGAUACUGCGGUGCUUGAGGACUGGAGAGGAGACUGGAAUUUACGGUGUAGCGGUGAAAUGCGUAGAUAUCGUAAGGAAGACCAGUGGCGAAGGCGGGUCUCUGGCCAGUUCCUGACGCUGAGGCACGAAGGCCAGGGGAGCAAACGGG